GGUGCUUUGGCUCAGUUGGUUAAAGUGCCUGUUUGGUAAACAGGAGAUGAUCCUGGGUUCAAAUCCCAGCGGCACCU
Non-coding RNA from Sander lucioperca (pikeperch), 77 nucleotides. The record is from the annotation of a RefSeq genome assembly. Lineage: Eukaryota; Metazoa; Chordata; Actinopteri; Perciformes; Percidae.